Molecule: ribosomal RNA, 492 nt
Filed under: uncultured bacterium
Lineage: Bacteria
Description: partial 16S ribosomal RNA
Rfam family: Bacterial small subunit ribosomal RNA
Source: RNAcentral
AGUGAACGCUGGCGGUAGGCCUAACACAUGCAAGUCGAACGGCAGCACAGUAAGAGCUUGCUCUUACGGGUGGCGAGUGGCGGACGGGUGAGGAAUACAUCGGAAUCUACUUUUUCGUGGGGGAUAACGUAGGGAAACUUACGCUAAUACCGCAUACGACCUACGGGUGAAAGCAGGGGAUCUUCGGACCUUGCGCGAUUGAAUGAGCCGAUGUCGGAUUAGCUAGUUGGCGGGGUAAAGGCCCACCAAGGCGACGAUCCGUAGCUGGUCUGAGAGGAUGAACCGACACACUGGAACUGAGACACGGUCCAGACUCCUACGGGAGGCAGCAGUGGGGAAUAUUGGACAAUGGGGGCAAGCCUGAUCCAGCCAUACCGCGGGAGUGAAGAAGGCCUUCGGGUUGUAAAGCCCUUUUGUUGGGAAAGAAAAGCAGCAGGUUAAUACCCCGCUGUUCUGACGGUACCCAAAGAAUAAGCACCGGCUAACUUCGUG